UACGGAGGGUGCGAGCGUUGUUCGGAAUUAUUGGGCGUAAAGCGCGCGUAGGCGGCCUCUUAAGUCUCACUGUGAAAGCCUGCGGCUCAACCGCAGGAGGCCAGGGGAUACUGAGGGGCUGGAGACAGGUAGAGGCGAGCGGAAUUCCGGGUGUAGCGGUGGAAUGCGUAGAGAUCCGGAAGAACACCAGAGGCGAAGGCGGCUCGCUGGACCUGGUCUGACGCUGAGGCGCGAAAGCGUGGGGAGCGAACAGG
Molecule: unclassified non-coding RNA, 254 nt
Filed under: uncultured Gemmatimonadota bacterium
Lineage: Bacteria; Pseudomonadati; Gemmatimonadota
Description: uncultured Gemmatimonadetes bacterium contains 16S-23S intergenic spacer region
Rfam family: Bacterial small subunit ribosomal RNA
Source: RNAcentral